GGAGCGGCCGAUAUCUGAUUAGCUAGUUGGUGGGGUAAAGGCCUACCAAGGCGACGAUCAGUAGCUGGUCUGAGAGGACGACCAGCCACACUGGAACUGAGACACGGUCCAGACUCUACGGGAGGCAGCAGUGGGGAAUUUUGGACAAUGGGCGCAAGCCUGAUCCAGCCAUUCCGCGUGAGUGAAGAAGGCCUUCGGGUUGUAAAGCUCUUUCGCAAGGGAAGAAACGAUACAGUCGAAUAAACUGUGUUAAUGACGGUACCUUGAUAAGAAGCACCGGCUAACUACGUGCCAGCAGCCGCGGUAAUACGUAGGGUGCGAGCGUUAAUCGGAAUUACUGGGCGUAAAGCGUGCGCAGGCGGUUUUGUAAGUCAGAUGUGAAAUCCCCGGGCUCAACCUGGGAAC
Molecule: ribosomal RNA, 405 nt
Filed under: uncultured beta proteobacterium Band07967
Lineage: Bacteria; Pseudomonadati; Pseudomonadota; Betaproteobacteria
Description: bacterial SSU rRNA
Rfam family: Bacterial small subunit ribosomal RNA
Source: RNAcentral